GUUAAGCGACUAAGCGUACACGGUGGAUGCCCUGGCAGUCAGAGGCGAUGAAGGACGUGCUAAUCUGCGAUAAGCGUCGGUAAGGUGAUAUGAACCGUUAUAACCGGCGAUUUCCGAAUGGGGAAACCCAGUGUGUUUCGACACACUAUCAUUAACUGAAUCCAUAGGUUAAUGAGGCGAACCGGGGGAACUGAAACAUCUAAGUACCCCGAGGAAAAGAAAUCAACCGAGAUUCCCCCAGUAGCGGCGAGCGAACGGGGAGCAGCCCAGAGCCUGAAUCAGUGUGUGUGUUAGUGGAAGCGUCUGGAAAGGCGCGCGAUACAGGGUGACAGCCCCGUACACAAAAAUGCACAUGCUGUGAGCUCGAUGAGUAGGGCGGGACACGUGGUAUCCUGUCUGAAUAUGGGGGGACCAUCCUCCAAGGCUAAAUACUCCUGACUGACCGAUAGUGAACCAGUACCGUGAGGGAAAGGCGAAAAGAACCCCGGCGAGGGGAGUGAAAAAGAACCUGAAACCGUGUACGUACAAGCAGUGGGAGCACGCUUAGGCGUGUGACUGCGUACCUUUUGUAUAAUGGGUCAGCGACUUAUAUUCUGUAGCAAGGUUAACCGAAUAGGGGAGCCGAAGGGAAACCGAGUCUUAACUGGGCGUUAAGUUGCAGGGUAUAGACCCGAAACCCGGUGAUCUAGCCAUGGGCAGGUUGAAGGUUGGGUAACACUAACUGGAGGACCGAACCGACUAAUGUUGAAAAAUUAGCGGAUGACUUGUGGCUGGGGGUGAAAGGCCAAUCAAACCGGGAGAUAGCUGGUUCUCCCCGAAAGCUAUUUAGGUAGCGCCUCGUGAAUUCAUCUCCGGGGGUAGAGCACUGUUUCGGCAAGGGGGUCAUCCCGACUUACCAACCCGAUGCAAACUGCGAAUACCGGAGAAUGUUAUCACGGGAGACACACGGCGGGUGCUAACGUCCGUCGUGAAGAGGGAAACAACCCAGACCGCCAGCUAAGGUCCCAAAGUCAUGGUUAAGUGGGAAACGAUGUGGGAAGGCCCAGACAGCCAGGAUGUUGGCUUAGAAGCAGCCAUCAUUUAAAGAAAGCGUAAUAGCUCACUGGUCGAGUCGGCCUGCGCGGAAGA
Molecule: ribosomal RNA, 1128 nt
Filed under: Escherichia coli
Lineage: Bacteria; Pseudomonadati; Pseudomonadota; Gammaproteobacteria; Enterobacterales; Enterobacteriaceae
Description: partial 23S ribosomal RNA
Rfam family: Bacterial large subunit ribosomal RNA
Source: RNAcentral